CUCCAGACUCCUACGGGAGGCAGCAGUGAGGAAUAUUGGUCAAUGGGCUUACGCCUGAACCAGCCAAGUCGCGUGAGGGAAGACUGCCCUACGGGUUGUAAACUUCUUUUGUCAGGGAGCAAUUGGGUCCACGCGUGGGCUUAGCGAGAGUACCUGAAGAAAAAGCAUCGGCUAACUCCGUGCCAGCAGCCGCGGUAAUACGGAGGAUGCGAGCGUUAUCCGGAUUUAUUGGGUUUAAAGGGUGCGUAGGCGGAGUGUCAAGUCAGCGGUAAAAUUUCGGGGCUCAACCCCGUCGUGCCGUUGAAACUGACACCCUUGAGUGAGUGAGAAGUAAGCGGAAUGCGUGGUGUAGCGGUGAAAUGCAUAGAUAUCACGCAGAACGCCGAUUGCGAAGGCAGCUUACCGGCGCUCAACUGACGCUGAGGCACGAAAGUGCGGGUAUCGAACAGGAUUAGAUACCCCAGUAGG
This 468-nucleotide ribosomal RNA is filed under the name uncultured bacterium. Its description in RNAcentral is "bacterial SSU rRNA". It matches the Rfam family "Bacterial small subunit ribosomal RNA", at positions 329 to 794 of the family's 1533-position model. The record is from RNAcentral.